RNAcentral lists this ribosomal RNA (1444 nucleotides) under uncultured organism. RNAcentral describes it as "SSU rRNA". It matches the Rfam family "Bacterial small subunit ribosomal RNA". The record is from RNAcentral.
GGCUCAGGAUGAACGCUAGCUACAGGCUUAACACAUGCAAGUCGAGGGGCAGCAUUUUAGUUUGCUUGCAAACUAAAGAUGGCGACCGGCGCACGGGUGAGUAACACGUAUCCAACCUGCCGAUAACUCGGGGAUAGCCUUUCGAAAGAAAGAUUAAUAUCCGAUAGUAUAUUAAAACCGCAUGGUUUUACUAUUAAAGAAUUUCGGUUAUCGAUGGGGAUGCGUUCCAUUAGUUUGUUGGCGGGGUAACGGCCCACCAAGACUACGAUGGAUAGGGGUUCUGAGAGGAAGGUCCCCCACAUUGGAACUGAGACACGGUCCAAACUCCUACGGGAGGCAGCAGUGAGGAAUAUUGGUCAAUGGACGAGAGUCUGAACCAGCCAAGUAGCGUGAAGGAUGACUGCCCUAUGGGUUGUAAACUUCUUUUAUAUGGGAAUAAAGUAUUCCACGUGUGGGAUUUUGUAUGUACCAUAUGAAUAAGGAUCGGCUAACUCCGUGCCAGCAGCCGCGGUAAUACGGAGGAUCCGAGCGUUAUCCGGAUUUAUUGGGUUUAAAGGGAGCGUAGGUGGAUUGUUAAGUCAGUUGUGAAAGUUUGCGGCUCAACCGUAAAAUUGCAGUUGAAACUGGCAGUCUUGAGUACAGUAGAGGUGGGCGGAAUUCGUGGUGUAGCGGUGAAAUGCUUAGAUAUCACGAAGAACUCCGAUUGCGAAGGCAGCUCACUGGACUGCAACUGACACUGAUGCUCGAAAGUGUGGGUAUCAAACAGGAUUAGAUACCCUGGUAGUCCACACAGUAAACGAUGAAUACUCGCUGUUUGCGAUAUACAGUAAGCGGCCAAGCGAAAGCAUUAAGUAUUCCACCUGGGGAGUACGCCGGCAACGGUGAAACUCAAAGGAAUUGGCGGGGGCCCGCACAAGCGGAGGAACAUGUGGUUUAAUUCGAUGAUACGCGAGGAACCUUACCCGGGCUUAAAUUGCAUUUGAAUAAUCUGGAAACAGGUUAGCCGCAAGGCAAAUGUGAAGGUGCUGCAUGGUUGUCGUCAGCUCGUGCCGUGAGGUGUCGGCUUAAGUGCCAUAACGAGCGCAACCCUUAUCUUUAGUUACUAACAGGUCAUGCUGAGGACUCUGGAGAGACUGCCGUCGUAAGAUGUGAGGAAGGUGGGGAUGACGUCAAAUCAGCACGGCCCUUACGUCCGGGGCUACACACGUGUUACAAUGGGGGGUACAGAAGGCAGCUACCUGGCGACAGGAUGCUAAUCCCAAAAACCUCUCUCAGUUCGGAUCGAAGUCUGCAACCCGACUUCGUGAAGCUGGAUUCGCUAGUAAUCGCGCAUCAGCCAUGGCGCGGUGAAUACGUUCCCGGGCCUUGUACACACCGCCCGUCAAGCCAUGAAAGCCGGGGGUACCUGAAGUACGUAACCGCAAGGAGCGUCCUAGGGUAAAAC